This is a long non-coding RNA of Cololabis saira (Pacific saury), 2255 nucleotides long. RefSeq lists it as uncharacterized. Lineage: Eukaryota; Metazoa; Chordata; Actinopteri; Beloniformes; Belonidae. The record is from RefSeq and is a predicted model, not a curated record. The transcript is spliced from 3 exons.
UUCAGUUCUUCUUUUUCCUCAGAGUAAUUUACUUUCUAUUGUUUCAGCUUGUGUUCUUGCCUGCACCCACUUUGUCCUUAAGACCAGUACAACAUUAUAAUACUUCUGGAACAAGACAGAGUGUUUCAGGCUGUUGUUGCAUGACGACUGUUUCUGGGUUGUUUGUGAGGAAAUUGCUUUGUGACGGAGGUCUGCUGGUGGUUGGACGCACUAGGACCCAGAGCACAAGCAAAUUAAGGACAACCAUCACAUAAGAGGCUUAGUGCAUCUAAUCCAUAGCGCUACACACACGGACACACACAGCAUUUCAUAAAUAUCCCAUUUUGAAACAAGCAUGCAUGCAUGUCCCAGAGGCAAACACUGCUAUUGUAUUUUCAUUUAGUUUUCAUUUUCUCCAAACUCUUUUAUUCCCCUUGUUGACCUCAACUUCCAUCCCACAUUGUUAGAGCACCGUAUGCUCCACUAUUUCUCUCAUCCUAUUUUCAUUAGCAAAGGGCCUUCAAUGAUUACAAAGCCAAGCACAAACUCGUUGCUUUUUUUUUUUCUAGACAAUUAUAGUCAGAACCAGAAAAAUACUUGGAAAGGAGAUCUUAUCCAUUUGCUGAGUGGAUCCAUCCAUAUCUUCCUGUUCAUCAGUUUCAUCAGCCUGUUUUUAUUGUUAAAUCAGUUGAACAAUCUCUCCCAAAGGAUCAAAACUGGAAAAGGAUUUCAAAGUGAAAUUGAAAUGAAGUUUGACUAAGUCAUGGCUUCUGAACAAUCACUCUAAUGAAAUGAUCCCGAGGCCCCGACUGAACAAAAACCCAUUUUCCUUUCUUACUGGAUAGUAAGAAAACAGACAUUUUCCCAGAAUCCCCUUCUCCAGGAGCCCUGCUUGUGUGCCUGCCGAGCCACUGUGUGAUGUUUAUGACCAUAGUUUGUGUGUGAUGCUGUUGAUAACGGUGAUAUCUCCAGUACUUGGUGGUCUGUGGUGUGAGAUGGACCAAACACCACCUCAUCCCACACACAACCAUGCAUUAUUUACACACACACACACACACUCUGGCACAUGCACUUUCCCAGCUGUUUGGUACCUCUGGCAUCACGUCGUUCGAUACACACAGUGUAUUUUUGUAUGUCUGUGUGCUCACCGUGUGUUUAUGGUGCAUGUGUGAGUGUGUGAGACAGUUACACACUCACACAUACACACACACACACACACACACGCACUGAGUUCAGCCGAUUUAUCAUAAUAUGCUUUAUCUGAAAAGUAAGUAUCUUACCUCGGGAUAAAGGGAGGAAAGAGGGGUUUGUGGCCAGAUUGACAGAGGAAGGGUGGAUGGAGAGAACCUAACGCUCUUUAGAGUGGAGCGCAGAGCCGGACCUUGACUUCUACUGCUGGAUUGAUCACUAUUGAUAAGGAAGAGUGCUGAUGUGAACGUGGUCAGCCUCUGAGGGAUGCGAGCGAAGCUGGCAGCGUGUCAUGCUUAAGCCUGCUCGGGGAGCCGUGUGUUUGAGGCAGAAGAGGGAGAAUCCGUCUGAACAUGAGUUCAUCUGUUCCUGAGCACGCAGUGAAGAUGAAGAGUCCAACAUUGGACUGGGGAGUCUUUAGCCUAUUAGUAUGUAAACAGUGUUUCUGACACGAUAAUCAUUUAACCUUUAGCUUUAGACCACGCUAGUAGACACAACACUGGCAUGGGCCUGACGUAAGCCAGGACAGGUCAGAUGGGAAGAAUUAUACCUUUUGUAUUCAUCUUUUCUUUAUCUUAGAAGACAUGGAGCUCUCCUGGUCAUAAGGUAAGAGGACAAGAGACAUUUAAGCAAAUAAAGAUCCAAUCUAACUUGGGACAUCUUCCACUUGUUGAUCUAAUGAGACAAGCCAGGCCUUUUCUCGCUCUCCGAGAGUCGCACACAUGCAACGCUGUCUAAAUCUUCACUGUGUCAGCAAACAAAGUGAGGAUCCACUGUUUUUAUACUCCCCAUCUUAGUUACAGGGUUAAUUGUGACUAAUUCAUUUGUCCAUAUCCCCAACUCCUCUUAUUGGCCUUAUUUUUUCCGGUCUGUCGUGAGGUUUGAUCUUCAACCUGAAGAAUUACAAUGUGUGGCUCCAACAAAGAUGUUUCUAGAAUAAGGUGGUUGGGCAGUUCAAUUUAAAGGCACUGAUUGCGAAUUAAACAGAUAAUAGAAAACAGUGAUGUUGUAUGACAUGUUACAAAAUCUGUUUUUGAAUUAUGUGAGAGUCUAUAUCCUGCUUUAAUAAAGUGAACACAUAAACAUAU